AUUGAACGCUGGCGGCAUGCCUUACACAUGCAAGUCGAACGGCAGCACGGGUGCUUGCACCUGGUGGCGAGUGGCGAACGGGUGAGUAAUACAUCGGAACAUGUCCUGUAGUGGGGGAUAGCCCGGCGAAAGCCGGAUUAAUACCGCAUACGAUCUACGGAUGAAAGCGGGGGACCUUCGGGCCUCGCGCUAUAGGGUUGGCCGAUGGCUGAUUAGCUAGUUGGUGGGGGAAAGGCCCACCAAGGCGGCGAUCAGUAGCUGGUCUGAGAGGACGACCAGCCGCCCUGGGCCUGACACACCGCCCAGACCCCGACGGGAGGCAGCAGUGGGGAGUUUUGGACAAUGGGCGAAGCCUGGCUCCAGCAAUGCCGCGUGUGUGAAGAGGGCCUUGGGGUUGUAAAGCACUUUGGCCCGGAAAGAAAUCUUUGCCCCUAAUCCGGUCGGGGGAGGACGGUCCCGGAAGAAUAACCCCCGCCUAACUACGUC
Molecule: ribosomal RNA, 486 nt
Filed under: uncultured bacterium
Lineage: Bacteria
Description: partial 16S ribosomal RNA
Rfam family: Bacterial small subunit ribosomal RNA
Source: RNAcentral